RNAcentral lists this ribosomal RNA (468 nucleotides) under uncultured bacterium. RNAcentral's name for it is "partial 16S ribosomal RNA". It matches the Rfam family "Bacterial small subunit ribosomal RNA", at positions 28 to 507 of the family's 1533-position model. The record is from RNAcentral.
GACGAACGCUGGCGGCGUGCUUAACACAUGCAAGUCGAACGGAAAGGCCCUGCUUUUGUGGGGUGCUCGAGUGGCGAACGGGUGAGUAACACGUGAGUAACCUGCCCUUGACUUUGGGAUAACUUCAGGAAACUGGGGCUAAUACCGGAUAGGAGCUCCUGCUGCAUGGUGGGGGUUGGAAAGUUUCGGCGGUUGGGGAUGGACUCGCGGCUUAUCAGCUUGUUGGUGGGGUAGUGGCUUACCAAGGCUUUGACGGGUAGCCGGCCUGAGAGGGUGACCGGCCACAUUGGGACUGAGAUACGGCCCGGACUCCUACGGGAGGCAGCAGUGGGGAAUAUUGCACAAUGGGCGGAAGCCUAAUGCAGCAACGCCGCGUGCGGGAUGACGGCCUUCGGGUUGUAAACCGCUUUCGCCUGUGACGAAGCGUGAGUGACGGUAAUGGGUAAAGAAGCACCGGCUAACUACGUG